UACAGAGACUGCAAGCGUUAUUCGGAUUCACUGGGCGUAAAGGGUGCGCAGGCGGCCAAGUGUGUUAGGCGUGAAAGCCCGGAGCUCAACUCCGGAAUUGCACCUAAAACUACAUGGCUAGAGCAUUGGAGAGGGAAGCGGAAUUCACGGUGUAGCAGUGAAAUGCGUAGAUAUCGUGAGGAACACCAGAGGCGAAGGCGGCUUCCUGGACAAUUGCUGACGCUCAGGCACGAAAGCGUGGGGAGCAAACAGG
RNAcentral lists this ribosomal RNA (253 nucleotides) under uncultured bacterium. RNAcentral describes it as "partial 16S ribosomal RNA". It matches the Rfam family "Bacterial small subunit ribosomal RNA", at positions 524 to 776 of the family's 1533-position model. The record is from RNAcentral.